AUCGCUUCUCGGCUCUCUGAGCUAAGAUCAAAGUGUAGUAUCUGUUCUUAUCAGCUUAAUAUCUGAUACAGCCUCCAUAGGAGGCUCAGUAUAUUAAUCUAUUUUUUGGGACCAGGCGGGUGCUCGGAGCUUGCUCCGACCUUGCCACGGGUCGACCCUGCAUUGCAUUGCAGCAGGGUUCGGCCCAGCAAUU
RNAcentral lists this small nuclear RNA (193 nucleotides) under Trachymyrmex cornetzi. RNAcentral's name for it is "U2 spliceosomal RNA". It matches the Rfam family "U2 spliceosomal RNA". Rfam says of the family: U2 is a small nuclear RNA (snRNA) component of the spliceosome (involved in pre-mRNA splicing). Lineage: Eukaryota; Metazoa; Arthropoda; Insecta; Hymenoptera; Formicidae. The record is from Rfam by way of RNAcentral.